Schistocerca serialis cubense is the source of this 524-nucleotide long non-coding RNA. RefSeq lists it as uncharacterized. The record is from RefSeq and is a predicted model, not a curated record. NCBI's taxonomy places the organism in Eukaryota, Metazoa, Arthropoda, Insecta, Orthoptera, Acrididae. The transcript has 3 exons.
GCCAUCUGUUAUGAAGUACAGUAUUGUAUGGUCUUCGUCCCAAUGCCUUUGACACACUUUGCUGUUGGCAGACACAUGACAGCAGCCAAUCAGCGAACAGGUUCUGUGGAAGCAGCCACUGAGUACAGGAGCAGCCAAUCAGCACACAGGUGGACACAGCUGACUGGGAUAAACAAGACGCUUCACCGAGAGAAUUGCAACUAGCCGCACUGUGCAGAGGAUGGACCAAUAUGACAACCACAGCAACAGCAACAGCAGCAGCAGGAGACGAGUGACUGAAAAAUAAGAGGAGAACCACCUCCAACAGAACUGAUAGCAGUGCAUUUCCUUACUAACUGCCACUUGGACCUGUUGAAGGCAUGACAACUUGGUGAGAAAAUGUGAAAAAGCUCAUUAAAAGUGUGAAAGUGCUUGUGAAAACUACUAAACAUUGAGCAAGUGAAACUUUCUGUCAGAAACAAGAGAACUGCAAUGCCCAGUGUAAUUUAACUUACUGCAACCAACGAGGAUUUCUUUUUUUUAAG